CCUACGUGUGGCAGCAGUGAGGAAUAUUGGUCAAUGGACGAGAGUCUGAACCAGCCAAGUAGCGUGAAGGAUGACUGCCCUAUGGGUUGUAAACUUCUUUUAUAUGGGCAUAAAAUGUUCCUCGUGUGGGUUUUUGUAUGUACCAUAUGAAUAAUGAUCGGCUAACUCCGUGCCAGCAGCCUCGGUAAUACGGAGGAUCCGAUCGUUAUCCGGAUUUAUUGGGUUUAAAGGGAGCGUAGGUGGAUUGUUAAGUCAGUUGUGAAAGUUUGCGGCUCAACCGUAAAAUUGCAGUUGAAACUGGCAGUAUUGAGUACAGUAGAGGUAGGCGGAAUUCGUGGUGUAGCGGUGAAAUGCUUAGAU
RNAcentral lists this ribosomal RNA (360 nucleotides) under uncultured bacterium. RNAcentral describes it as "partial 16S ribosomal RNA". It matches the Rfam family "Bacterial small subunit ribosomal RNA", at positions 338 to 695 of the family's 1533-position model. The record is from RNAcentral.